CAACGUUUGACUCUUUGUCUUAUUUAAAAAUUUUCUAUGAUUAGUAUUUUUAUUAUUAGAUGACACAACAUGAAUAUUACUUUAUACAUGACAACUUUUUUAAAAAAAAUUUAUAAAAUUUUCAAAUAAGAUGGACGGUCAAAUGUUG
MicroRNA precursor from Oryza sativa Japonica Group (Japanese rice), 148 nucleotides. It matches the Rfam family "MIR812 microRNA precursor family", at positions 29 to 177 of the family's 205-position model. NCBI's taxonomy places the organism in Eukaryota, Viridiplantae, Streptophyta, Magnoliopsida, Poales, Poaceae. The record is from Rfam.